AAAUGUUGGGUUAAGUCCCGCAACGAGCGCAACCCUUGUCCUUAUUUGCCAGCACGUAAUGGUGGGAACUCUAGGGAGACUGCCGGUGAUAAACCGGAGGAAGGUGGGGACGACGUCAAGUCAUCAUGGCCCUUACGAGUAGGGCUACACACGUGCUACAAUGGCGUAUACAGAGGGUUGCAAACCCGCGAGGGGGAGCUAAUCUCACAAAGUGUGUCGUAGUCCGGAUCGGAGUCUGCAACUCGACUCCGUGAAGUCGGAAUCGCUAGUAAUCGUGAAUCAGAAUGUCGCGGUGAAUACGUUCCCGGGCCUUGCACACACCGCCCGU
RNAcentral lists this ribosomal RNA (328 nucleotides) under uncultured bacterium. RNAcentral describes it as "bacterial SSU rRNA". It matches the Rfam family "Bacterial small subunit ribosomal RNA", at positions 1070 to 1397 of the family's 1533-position model. The record is from RNAcentral.